GGCCCCCCCAGUUAUAUAGUUAAAAAAUGCCCUGGAACAGGCUCACUGGGAGAAAGGUGAGCCUGCACGGAACCAUGCGUUUUAUUCAAUCAUCCCCUUUUCGCAUCUGCUAAACGCGAACCAAUCAGCGUCGACUGCGAUAAAUAAACUGUCAACUGUCAAAUUGACGCAAGGCGUGUACAUUAUUGUACAACGAAGAAAUACUGAAUAUUAAAAUGUAUGCCAUACAUAAUGUUAUGUGAACAAUAAUACAAAGCAUUAGCGGGCCGCACAAUAUAUUACUCGGAAAAAUAUAGAAUUCUUCAAAUAUUAAAUAGAUAUCAAUACUACGGUGGCCCAGACGCGACAGCACAAAAACAGUUUUUGUAUUUUUUGAUUUUUUGAUUUUUUGAUUUUUUGAUUUUUGUAUUUUUUGAUUUUUUGAUUUUUUGAUUUUUGUAUUUUUGUAUUUUUUUGAUUUUUUUGUUUUUUUAUUUUUGGAUUGAUUUUUUUUUCAGUAUAGAUAUACAUACUGUAGCACUUGAAUGAGCGGGCAAGGUUACUGAUAAUGGGUAUAUAUAUAACAUGAUCGAAGCUGUGUAACACAAAAUUAAGGUUAAGGGUUAGGGCCGCGAAUUUGGCAUUUAUCAUGUUGAUAAAUUCGGACCCGUUUAACAAUUUACUCGUAUAGUAAAAUUCAAAUGUGGAACUCAUGCUGUAAAUUACACUAUACGUAUAAUCUUGAUCAAAAAAUUUUCACGACAUAUGGCGCCGGACAAAUUAAAUGGUUCAUUUGGUGCCGGAAAAAAUUUUGCGGACAUAAAAUCGUUUAUUUUUUGCCGACAAUUUUCUUAAUAUUUUGAGAUUUUUAGAUGUAUUAUUCAUGUGGGUACUGGGAUUUAUAUUCUGA
Paramuricea clavata is the source of this 889-nucleotide non-coding RNA. NCBI's taxonomy places the organism in Eukaryota, Metazoa, Cnidaria, Anthozoa, Malacalcyonacea, Plexauridae. The record is from the annotation of a GenBank genome assembly.